Molecule: long non-coding RNA, 756 nt
Organism: Aegilops tauschii subsp. strangulata
Lineage: Eukaryota; Viridiplantae; Streptophyta; Magnoliopsida; Poales; Poaceae
Source: RefSeq, a predicted model, not a curated record
CACGGCGACAGAGCCCCGCCAUGUCUCCUCGCCUCGCCGAGACGGGCACCGUAUCCGCGUGGUCGUGCGUGUGCCCCUUGUAUCCAUUUGAAAUUGCGGGAGCGUCCGCCGUCUUUCCGGUGGAACUGCGUCGGUCGCCGGCGCUGCCCCGAGUAUUCCUCUACUACAAGCCUGUCGCCUCCCCUCCCUCCGCCCCGGGGCAGCAUUCCGUCGAACAAAUCGUCUCUUUCACAUGUCAGUCUGUCAGACACCUUUAUUUGUUAAUCACCGGUCUACCUGAGACCAGCCUUUUCUACCCGUCAUCAAUUAACACAGUAUUCAGCAUGAGUUCCACUGGUUAGUGGUUCAGUUCAUCAUUGCAUGGCUUUAUCUUUGUGCUGUAACAACAGCUGUUUCAUGGACCGAUAUAAUUCUCAAAUGAUUGCUUCAAAAGCGGAUCAGACACAACUCAAAGGGAUGUGGCUGGUGCCACCAUUGAUAAUACCUAAUAUCACUAUCCAAGAAUGACUUAUCAACACCUGAGCCCUGUUCAUCUGAAAAGAAGUAUUAGUUUGCUUUACGGUAUAUGGGGUCUUGAGGUGUCAACUAUCCCUCCAGGGAGUGUAAAUCUUUUCCAAGAAAGCGAAAGGUAAAAUUCUAAUGGUAGACGAAUAUCUAUAAACGAAAGUGUCCUUCUAAAUGGUUUAUUUUAUUAAAUAUAUCAACACCGGAGCUCUCUGUACAUCUGCAAAGAAGUAUUAGAGUUGCUUUAUGAUA